RNAcentral lists this ribosomal RNA (563 nucleotides) under uncultured bacterium. RNAcentral describes it as "partial 16S ribosomal RNA". It matches the Rfam family "Bacterial small subunit ribosomal RNA", at positions 355 to 1375 of the family's 1533-position model. The record is from RNAcentral.
UGGGGAAUAUUGCACAAUGGGCGCAAGCCUGAUGCAGCGACGCCGCGUGAGGGAUGACGGCCUUCGGGUUGUAAACCUCUUUCAGCAGGGACGAAGCGCAAGUGACGGUACCUGCAGAAGAAGCACCGGCCAACUACGUGCCAGCAGCCGCGGUAAUACGUAGGGUGCGAGCGUUGUCCGGAAUUACUGGGCGUAAAGAGCUCGUAGGCGGUUUGUCGCGUCGUCUGUGAAUUCUGCAGCUUAACUGCAGGCGUGCAGGCGAUACGGGCAGACUUGAGUACUACAGGGGAGACUGGAAUUCCUGGUGUAGCGGUGAAAUGCGCAGAUAUCAGGAGGAACACCGGUGGCGAAGGCGGGUCUCUGGGUAGUAACUGACGCUGAGGAGCGAAAGCGUGGGUAGCGAACAGGAUUAGAUACCCUGGUAGUCCACGCCGUAAACGGUGGGUACUAGGUGUGGGUUCCAUUUCACGGGAUCCGUGCCGUAGCUAACGCAUUAAGUACCCGCCUGGGAGUACGGCGCAAGGCUAAACUUAAAGGAAUUGACGGGGUCAUAGCUGUUUCCU